UACGAAGGGGGCUAGCGUUGUUCGGAAUUACUGGGCGUAAAGCGCACGUAGGCGGCUUCGCAAGUCGGAUGUGAAAUACCUAGGCUCAACCAAGGACGUGCAUCCGAAACUGCGAGGCUUGAGUACAGAAGAGGAUCGCGGAAUUCCCGGUGUAGAGGUGAAAUUCGUAGAUAUUGGGAGGAACACCAGUGGCGAAGGCGGCGAUCUGGGCUGAUACUGACGCUGAGGUGCGAAAGCGUGGGGAGCAAACAGG
This 253-nucleotide ribosomal RNA is filed under the name uncultured bacterium. RNAcentral's name for it is "partial 16S ribosomal RNA". It matches the Rfam family "Bacterial small subunit ribosomal RNA", at positions 524 to 776 of the family's 1533-position model. The record is from RNAcentral.